UAGGGAAUCUUCGGCAAUGGACGAAAGUCUGACCGAGCAACGCCGCGUGAGUGAAGAAGGUUUUCGGAUCGUAAAACUCUGUUGUUAGAGAAGAACAAGGACGUUAGUAACUGAACGUCCCCUGACGGUAUCUAACCAGAAAGCCACGGCUAACUACGUGCCAGCAGCCGCGGUAAUACGUAGGUGGCAAGCGUUGUCCGGAUUUAUUGGGCGUAAAGCUAGCGCAGGCGGUUUCUUAAGUCUGAUGUGAAAGCCCCCGGCUCAACCGGGGAGGGUCAUUGGAAACUGGGAGACUUGAGUGCAGAAGAGGAGAGUGGAAUUCGAUGUGUAGCGGUGAGAUGCGUAGAUAUAUGGAGGAACACCAGUGGCGAAGGCGGCUCUCUGGUCUGUAACUGACGCUGAGGCUCGAAAGCGUGGGGAGCAAACAGG
This 429-nucleotide ribosomal RNA is filed under the name Gemmatimonadota bacterium. RNAcentral describes it as "Gemmatimonadetes bacterium partial 16S ribosomal RNA". It matches the Rfam family "Bacterial small subunit ribosomal RNA", at positions 355 to 776 of the family's 1533-position model. The record is from RNAcentral. Lineage: Bacteria; Pseudomonadati; Gemmatimonadota.